GUUUGAUCCUGGCUCAGGAUGAACGCUGGCGGCGUGCCUAAUACAUGCAAGUCGAACGAGGUGCUUUUGUAGCAAUACGAAAGUAUCCUAGUGGCGAACGGGUGAGUAACGCGUUGGUGACCUACCCCAAAGUGUGGGAUAACAGUUCGAAAGAACUGCUAAUACCGCAUGUGGUUAUCGGGUUUAGAAACUGAUAACUAAAGGAGCAAUUCGCUUUGGGAGGGACCUGCGUCCCAUCAGCUAGUUGGUGAGGUAACGGCUCACCAAGGCUACGACGGGUAGGGGACCUGAGAGGGUGACCCCCCACAAUGGAACUGAAACACGGUCCAUACACCUACGGGUGGCAGCAGUAGGAAUAUUGCACAAUGGGCGAAAGCCUGAUGCAGCAACGCCGCGUGUGCGAUGAAGGCCU
RNAcentral lists this ribosomal RNA (412 nucleotides) under uncultured bacterium. RNAcentral describes it as "bacterial SSU rRNA". It matches the Rfam family "Bacterial small subunit ribosomal RNA", at positions 11 to 417 of the family's 1533-position model. The record is from RNAcentral.